Molecule: ribosomal RNA, 479 nt
Filed under: uncultured bacterium
Lineage: Bacteria
Description: partial 16S ribosomal RNA
Rfam family: Bacterial small subunit ribosomal RNA
Source: RNAcentral
GAUGAACGCUAGCGGGAGGCCUAACACAUGCAAGCCGAGCGGUAUUGUUUCUUCGGCAAUGAGAGAGCGGCGUACGGGUGCGUAACACGUGUGCAACCUGCCUUUAUCUGGGGGAUAGCCUUUCGAAAGGAAGAUUAAUACUCCAUAAUAUAUUGAACGGCAUCGUUUAAUAUUGAAAGCUCCGGCGGAUAGAGAUGGGCACGCGCAAGAUUAGCUAGUUGGUGAGGUAACGGCUCACCAAGGCGAUGAUCUUUAGGGGGCCUGAGAGGGUGAUCCCCCACACUGGGACUGAGACACGGACCAGACUCCUACGGGAGGCAGCAGUGAGGAAUAUUGGUCAAUGGGUGCAAGCCUGAACCAGCCAUCCCGCGUGAAGGACGACUGCCCUAUGGGUUGUAAACUUCUUUUGUAUAGGGAUAAACCUACCCUCGAGAGGGUAGCUGAAGGUACUAUACGAAUAAGCACCGGCUAACUCCGUG